ACAAAAAGACAAGUGCAGCUGCGGCGCGAUUUUGUUGCAAAACAUGAGCAUUGGACUGAAGAAGAUUGGGAUAUGGUAAUAUGGUCUGAUGAAACAAAAAUAAAUCGUUAUCAGUCUGAUGGGCGUUCCUGGUACUAUACACGAGACCCAAACACGAUUAAACCAAACCAUGUUUCCCAAACUGUAAAACAUGGUGGCGGUUCAAUCAUGGUUUGGGGGUGUAUCGCCAAAAACGGUAUAUGUAGGUCGUCUGGUACGCAUUAAUGGAAUCAUGCGUAGGGAGCAGUAUCUGACCAUUUUACAACAAAAUUUGGCGAUAGUCAUCGAAAAUUUGGGUCUUGCUGCUGAAAAAGCUAUCUUUCAGCAAGACAAUGACCCGAAGCACACGGCUCGCCUUGUACAAGAUUGGAUAAAACGUCAAAAAUUUUCGACCCUUACAUGGCCCCCUCAAUCACCGGAUAUGAAUCCAAUCGAAAAUUUGUGGAGUCAUGUCAAGGCGCAGCUGGCGAAGUACCCUAAUCCUCCUAAGGGGGUAAAUGAGUUGUGGGAGCGGACUCAAGAAGUUUGGAAUGCAAUACCCCCCGAUUUUGUAUCGAAAUAUACAAAAAGUAUGCCCAACCGGUUGAACGCUUUAAAAACAGCUAAGGGUUUUUGGACCAAAUAUUAACUUUUUGGUUAUUAUGUUUUACCAUUACAUCGAGUGCAAAACUGUAACAUUGAGCUUUUUUUACUUUAUUACUUUUAAACAUAUUGAAUUGUUAUUAAAUUACCAUGAUUAGUUACUUUAAUAAAGCUAAGGCUACAAUUAAUUGAAAACUAAAAUUAAA
Bactrocera neohumeralis is the source of this 827-nucleotide long non-coding RNA. RefSeq lists it as uncharacterized. Lineage: Eukaryota; Metazoa; Arthropoda; Insecta; Diptera; Tephritidae. The transcript is spliced from 2 exons. The record is from RefSeq and is a predicted model, not a curated record.